RNAcentral lists this ribosomal RNA (253 nucleotides) under uncultured bacterium. RNAcentral describes it as "partial 16S ribosomal RNA". It matches the Rfam family "Bacterial small subunit ribosomal RNA", at positions 524 to 776 of the family's 1533-position model. The record is from RNAcentral.
UACGAAGGGGGCUAGCGUUGCUCGGAAUCACUGGGCGUAAAGCGCACGUAGGCGGGUCUUUAAGUCAGGGGUGAAAUCCUGGAGCUCAACUCCAGAACUGCCUUUGAUACUGAGGAUCUUGAGUUCGGGAGAGGUGAGUGGAACUGCGAGUGUAGAGGUGAAAUUCGCAGAUAUUCGCAAGAACACCAGUGGCGAAGGCGGCUCACUGGCCCGAUACUGACGCUGAGGCACGAAAGCGUGGGGAGCAAACAGG